GUCCCUGUAGCGCAAUCGAUGGUGCGUUGGACUUCUAAUCGAAUGGCCGUGGGCUCGAAUCCCACCUGGGAUG
This 73-nucleotide transfer RNA is filed under the name Trichonephila inaurata madagascariensis. It matches the Rfam family "tRNA". From Rfam's summary of the family: Transfer RNA (tRNA) molecules are approximately 80 nucleotides in length. Lineage: Eukaryota; Metazoa; Arthropoda; Arachnida; Araneae; Nephilidae. The record is from Rfam by way of RNAcentral.